Molecule: long non-coding RNA, 3359 nt
Organism: Scylla paramamosain (green mud crab)
Lineage: Eukaryota; Metazoa; Arthropoda; Malacostraca; Decapoda; Portunidae
Exons: 4
Source: RefSeq, a predicted model, not a curated record
AGUGGCCGAGAACAGAGAAGCGCGUAGAGGAAGACGGAGAAGCAUGCUGGCUGGUGGGUUGACAGGUUGCCCCAGAGCACGGUGCUGCUUCUUCCUUCAAGUUUACCCCCACCUGUGACCUGUGACGCUUUCUUCACUCCUCGCCUUGUUUCCUGCUUACCUGCUGCCAGCGUGUGUAGAUGGUGAGGUUCUCGGGGAUGACGCGCACCACCAGCAGCGAGACCAAGAACUGGUUGGCCAGCAAUGAAGAGAAGUUUAGUGAAGGGCAGCUGUGUGACGAGUGACUUCUGCUGGCGUUGCCCCGUGACCUACUGCUUAGAGCUGCUGGAGGGGCCAAAAACUCAGCAAUACUCUCUCAUCACUUUAGUAUGCUAUGCUGUCAGACCUGUGGGAAUCUCACCAAAUGUGUUGCAGACGUGAUGUUCCCAUUCUGCUUCAGUAAAGCAGGGACCACUUUGAACUGCAGGCAUUGCUUCUGCAGUUACUUCUUGGGUUAAACGGUGUGGCUGCCUGUCGCCCUUUCACACAGAUGCUGGCUGCAGAUAAAUAAUCUGUUGCUGAGUCAGCAAGUCUACAGGAAGAGUGUAUAAUGUUGUACAAAGCCGCAUCUUUUAACCCUCAAAACAGGAAGAGUUCAUUAAAGCCACCAAAUUUAAUUAAUUUAUACAGCAAGGAGCCAGCUAGCUCAUUUAAUGCAGAUGGGAUGGGAUGAUACUCAGGUCCCAUGAUGAUAAGGGAUGCCAGACCCACCCUGUAAAGUGAGUUUCCAUCAUUAAUUUACUGCAAAAUUUUUAACCAUUCAUUUUAAUCUUCUACUCAUCAGCUAGUUGGGGUGAGUCUUUCUUACGUUAGUGAUCAGAGCAAGAUACCUGGCUGGUAAUAAAGGACGAGUCGAAGCUCCGAAACACUGAGACUGUGAUAAACGUCAGAAUGUAGAUUCCUGUAUUUCAUUUGAAGAGCGAUAUUAAUCUCUCUCUCUCUCUCUCUCUCUCCUCCGGCCAAGCGUUUUCGUUUCGAAGCAAUGAAACAUUUAUGUACAGCGGAGAUGUUCAAGGGGAGAUUCCUAGCCUCCACCCAGACCACACUGAGAUUAUUGCGUCUUAUUACAGAAACAAUUCAAGUUGAUAGUGUUGCAAUAAAAUGUUAUUUGUGCAUUUACAAACAUUUUAAUUUACAGGUGGAGUUCGUAUUUUAGGUCCCAGGGAAGGAUCUGCUUGAAAUUACACCAUGUUAUCAGAAAUAACUGCGGGUGGUGGCCCUGAGUGAGGCUAGAGGGAGUAGUUCGGCUGUUAGAGAGGUAGGCGGCUUUGUCAGAUGCAUGUACGGCAAGUGUAAAGGGCCGAGGAGCGACGACUGGGUUUUUGUAUCUCCCAUACCUUCAUGUAGUGUACAGAUAGUCAAUAUUCCAUCAGUGAGGCCAAGAUUACGGGUGGGAGGAGCUGCAAAGGCGUGGACGUGGCAACGCGGGUAGGAGUCGAAGCUUCGAAACAAUGAGUCAGUCAUAUUCAUCAAUAUAUGGACGUUUAUAUUUCACGUGAAGAAUUAAUUAUAUUAAUACAUUCUCUCUCUCUCUCUCUCUCUCUCUCUCUCUCUCUCUCUCUCUCUCUCUCUCUCUCUCUCUCUCUCUCUCUCUCUCCGUCUGAGGGUUCUCUUUUCGAAAUACAGUAAUAAAACACUUGUGUUCAGUUACCUUCCAGAAUGUGAAGGUGUUCAAGGGGGGAUUCGUAGCCUCCACCCAGACCACAUUGAGAUUAUUCCGUCUUAUCAGAGAAACAAGUCAAAUUGAUAGAAUAUUGCAAUGUUAUAUUAUUUGUGCAUUUACGAACAUUUUAAUUUAUUGGUGGAGUUUGUAUUUUAGGUCACAGGAAAGGAUGUACUAAAGAUUACACCAUGAUAUCAUGGUUAGCAGCGGGUGGUGGCCCUGGGUGAGGCUAGAGGAAGUAGUUGGGUAGUUCGAGGCAGAGGCGGAGUUGUUAGAGGCGUAUAAAGAGCCGAGGAGCAUCAUGUAGGUCGCCUAGCGCCGCCCUCCCCCUCCGAAUUCCAAAGCAAUGAAGCAAUAAAUGAAUAAAAUAGAUAAAUGAACGGAUAAAUGCAUAAAAUAAGUAAAUAAGUAAAUUAUCAAGUAAAUAUAUCGAUAAAUAAAUAGAUGAAUUAAUGAAUAUAAAUAAAGAUGAAAUAAUAAUAAAUAAAUUAAUGAAACUAAAAAAAGUACGUAGUUAUCUUGUGUGCCAUCUUUCUGGCAUGCCUAAAAAUAUCACAGAACUGACGAAAUAUAACGAUUCGAACAUCUUUCCUCAUCUCACUUAAUAUUAUCAUUAUCUUCUCUAUUCUACUGCAGAUUUCUCCCAAACCUUCGCCACAUACCUACCUCUGUUGGAUGCCUGUCACUCCCCUCCCCCGCCCAGUCUGCAAAACUUUAUCUGGUCCUCCUAUUUUAGGUUAUCCCAACCUUCUUUUAUCAUCACAAGGUUGCCAUUUCGUUACUGCAAUUUCCUGUUUCCUGUCAUUUACUGCAGCCAGACUUGCUUCACACUCGUUAUGUUCCUCACAGGCUUCCCUACAUUACUCAUUCACAUCCACCUCCCUCUUCAUUUCAUCCUCUGCCAGACUAUUUCCAUUCCUAAAACACAAAUUCUAAUCCAGAUAUUCCUCAAAGGCUGGCCAAGGUUGAUGUUUCCUCUUGCUCCUGCCCACACUCUCCAGGCACCACUCUGCCAUACAUUUUGAAAGGACACACACCUUACUUCAAACUAAAGAUGGUCAUUAGUAAUUUUUUUUUCCCCACAUAUUCGAGGGAUGGCCGAGGUUGACUUUCCUGUUCCUCUUGCCCGUACACUCCAAACGUCUGUCUACCAUACACUUUCAGGGGAAACAUAACUUACUUGAAAUUGUAGAUGGCCACAAGUACAUUUUUCCACACAUCUCAGCCCAUGAAAUCCUUGAACGCAGCUUAUCUUAGGAAUACUAAAGUCAAGGUUUACUAAAACACACUUUACUGGUUUGUACUCCUUACAGUAAACAUUUAAUAAGUGCCGGCUAUAGUAAUAUACAUGUAUUUACAGCUUGGAGCUACCCAGGAGCAAGUGCACUGUAGUGGCACUUGGCACUCAUUGAACAACAAUUUCAUACAUCAGUCUUGGUGGGUAGGUGACUUCUGCUACAGUCCCUGCCAUCUGGUGGUCUACAGCUACCUCAAAGAAUGGUUCACAACUCUCCUCAACUAAACUGACAACAACAGAGUAAAACCAGCACAAAGGUCAUGCCCAGAGAGGCCCUGGAGCCCCUGUCAGGCACCAAACAAACUGUAGACGUAGGAAUCUGUCGAGCUUACUUUAGUGAAAAUAAAUUAGAAGCCUUAA